GCAGCCAGCGAGCGUGUGCGCCGUAUAGGAAUCCGCGCGGCCGGCUCUUGAGGCGUUUCAUAUCGGAGAGACACCGGCAGACCCACUGGGGUGCAGGCAGCCCGCCGCCCCGACACCGCCGAGACCGACGCUCCCUCUCCCGGUCUGACAGGCCAAUCGCAGGCCACCGCUCGCCCUCCCUCCAUCCACAGUUCUCUCUCUCUCUCUUUCUGUGUUUCUCACUCACUCUCCCUCCUCCUCCUCUCCUCCUUUCGCUCUCUCUCUCUCGCUCCGGUUUUCAUUCCUUUGCGUUCAAUCCGUGCAUCCCCUCCUCCUCUUCCUCCUACUCCACCUCCUCCUCCUCUCCUCUCCUCCUCCUCCUCCUCACACCUUUUGGUCAGAAGAGGAAGAGGAAGCCCAGCCCAUGGAGAGACGCUGAGAGGAUGAAACUCUGACACGCCGACAGACCACAGGAAAACAAGAGCACAACUAUAAUUGCUUGAAAGAAGGAAGCGCCCAGGAAGGUCAGCCAAGACUCCUGCCUUAGGUGCCAGAGUGAGAUCUACAGGACUACAAUUACUUGGACAGACUGAGGCGGCAGAGUAAAGUGAAUGACAGGGUGGUGUUGACAUCUGACUUCACUCUCGGCGUCACCAUCGACUAACUUCUCCCUCUCCCAACACCUGCGACCUCUGACCUCCAGCCUCUCAGAAAGGU
Hippoglossus stenolepis (Pacific halibut) is the source of this 696-nucleotide long non-coding RNA. RefSeq lists it as uncharacterized. The transcript has 3 exons. The record is from RefSeq and is a predicted model, not a curated record. NCBI's taxonomy places the organism in Eukaryota, Metazoa, Chordata, Actinopteri, Pleuronectiformes, Pleuronectidae.